GAUGAACGCUGACAGAAUGCUUAACACAUGCAAGUCAUUGGCGAAGCUGCGCUUGCGCAGUCUAGCCAAGGCGGACGGGUGAGUAACGCGUAAGGAACUUGCCCUGCAGACAGGGAUAACAGACGGAAACGACUGAUAACACCUGGUAUUGUCAGGCUGGCGCAUGCCGGCCUGAUGAAAGGAGACGCUGCAGGAGAGCCUUGCGUCCUAUUAGCUAGUUGGUGGGGUAACGGCCCACCAAGGCGAUGAUAGGUAGCCGGCCUGAGAGGGUGAACGGCCACAAGGGGAAUGAGAUACGGCCGUUACUCCUACGGGAGGCAGCAGUGGGGAAUAUUGGACAAUGGAGGCAACCCUGAUCCAGCAAUUCUGUGUGCACGAAGAAGGUUUUCGGAUUGUAAAGUGCUUUCAGCAGGGAAGAAGAAAGUGACGGUACCUGCAGAAGAAGCGACGGCUAAAUACGUG
This 462-nucleotide ribosomal RNA is filed under the name uncultured bacterium. RNAcentral describes it as "partial 16S ribosomal RNA". It matches the Rfam family "Bacterial small subunit ribosomal RNA", at positions 28 to 507 of the family's 1533-position model. The record is from RNAcentral.